CAGCCGCCGCGGGAAUACGUAGGUGGCAAGCGUUGUCCGGAAUUAUUGGGCGUAAAGGGCUCGCAGGCGGUUUCUUAAGUCUGAUGUGAAAGCCCCCGGCUCAACCGGGGAGGGUCAUUGGAAACUGGGAAACUUGAGUGCAGAAGAGGAGAGUGGAAUUCCACGUGUAGCGGUGAAAUGCGUAGAGAUGUGGAGGAACACCAGUGGCGAAGGCGACUCUCUGGUCUGUAAGUGACGCUGAGGAGCGAAAGCGUGGGGAGCGAACAGGAUUAGAUACCCCAGUAGUCCCUGUCUCUUAACA
Molecule: ribosomal RNA, 301 nt
Filed under: uncultured bacterium
Lineage: Bacteria
Description: partial 16S ribosomal RNA
Rfam family: Bacterial small subunit ribosomal RNA
Source: RNAcentral